This 339-nucleotide ribosomal RNA is filed under the name Escherichia coli. Its description in RNAcentral is "bacterial LSU rRNA". It matches the Rfam family "Bacterial large subunit ribosomal RNA", at positions 1605 to 1925 of the family's 2925-position model. The record is from RNAcentral. Lineage: Bacteria; Pseudomonadati; Pseudomonadota; Gammaproteobacteria; Enterobacterales; Enterobacteriaceae.
CUUCCAGGAAAAGCCUCUAAGCAUCAGGUAACAUCAAAUCGUACCCCAAACCGACACAGGUGGUCAGGUAGAGAAUACCAAGGCGCUUGAGAGAACUCGGGUGAAGGAACUAGGCAAAAUGGUGCCGUAACUUCGGGAGAAGGCACGCUGAUAUGUAGGUGAAGCGACUUGCUCGUGGAGCUGAAAUCAGUCGAAGAUACCAGCUGGCUGCAACUGUUUAUUAAAAACACAGCACUGUGCAAACACGAAAGUGGACGUAUACGGUGUGACGCCUGCCCGGUGCCGGAAGGUUAAUUGAUGGGGUCAGCGCAAGCGAAGCUCUUGAUCGAAGCCCCGGUA